UGCCGAAAUGGUGGAACAGGUAGACACAAGGGACUUAAAAUCCCUUGACCUCAGGGUCGUACGAGUUCAAGUCUCGUUUUCGGCAA
Molecule: transfer RNA, 86 nt
Filed under: Spirochaetes bacterium ADurb.Bin315
Lineage: Bacteria; Pseudomonadati; Spirochaetota
Description: tRNA-Leu
Rfam family: tRNA
About the family: Transfer RNA (tRNA) molecules are approximately 80 nucleotides in length. Their secondary structure includes four short double-helical elements and three loops (D, anti-codon, and T loops).
Source: RNAcentral